Molecule: ribosomal RNA, 1499 nt
Filed under: termite gut metagenome
Description: bacterial SSU rRNA
Rfam family: Bacterial small subunit ribosomal RNA
Source: RNAcentral
AGAGUUUGAUCCUGGCUCAGGAUGAACGCUAGCGACAGGCUUAACACAUGCAAGUCGAGGGGCAGCAUAAAAGGUAGCAAUACUUUGGGUGGCGACCGGCGCACGGGUGCGUAACGCGUAUGCAACCUGCCCAUAAGCGUGGGAUAACCCGGCGAAAGCCGGCCUAAUACCGCAUAAGACCAUACCGCCGCAUGGCAGAUAAGGUUAAAGGAGCGAUCCGCUUAUGGAUGGGCAUGCGUUCCAUUAGAUAGUUGGUAGGGGUAACGGCCCACCAAGUCAGCGAUGGAUAGGGGUUCUGAGAGGCCCCCACACUGGAACUGAGACACGGUCCAGACUCCUACGGGAGGCAGCAGUGAGGAAUAUUGGUCAAUGGUCGGAAGACUGAACCAGCCAAGUCGCGUGAAGGAAGAAGGAUCUAUGGUUCGUAAACUUCUGGGGGAAUAAGUAUGGGGACGUGUCCCUGUUUAUUGCAUGUACCCCAUGAAUAAGCAUCGGCUAACUCCGUGCCAGCAGCCGCGGUAAUACGGAGGAUGCGAGCGUUAUCCGGAUUUAUUGGGUUUAAAGGGUGCGUAGGUGGAUGUUUAAGUCCGCGGUGAAAGGUUGUCGCUUAACGAUAAAAUUGCCGUUGAAACUGGAUAUCUUGAGUAUGUUUGAAGUAGGCGGAAUGCGUGGUGUAGCGGUGAAAUGCAUAGAUAUCACGCAGAACUCCGAUAGCGAAGGCAGCUUACUAAACCAUAACUGACACUGAAGCACGAAAGCGUGGGUAUCAAACAGGAUUAGAUACCCUGGUAGUCCACGCAGUAAACGAUGAUAACUAGGAGUUUGCGAUAGACAGUAAGCUCUACAGCGAAAGCGUUAAGUUAUCCACCACGCCGGCAACGGUGAAACUCAAAGGAAUUGACGGGGGCCCGCACAAGCGGAGGAACAUGUGGUUUAAUUCGAUGAUACGCGAGGAACCUUACCCGGGUUUGAACGCAGACCGUCCGGGGGUGAAAGCCCCUUUCUGGCAACAGCGGUUUGCGAGGUGCUGCAUGGUUGUCGUCAGCUCGUGCCGUGAGGUGUCGGCUUAAGUGCCAUAACGAGCGCAACCCUUACCGUUAGUUACCAUCAAGUGAAGUUGGGGACUCUAGCGGGACUGCCGGCGUAAGCUGCGAGGAAGGUGGGGAUGACGUCAAAUCAGCACGGCCCUUACAUCCGGGGCGACACACGUGUUACAAUGGUGGGGACAGAGGGCUGCAAACUGGUGACAGUGCGCGAAUCCCAAAAACCCCAUCUCAGUUCGGAUCGAAGUCUGCCCCGACUUCGUGAAGCUGGAUUCGCUAGUAAUCGCGCAUCAGCCAUGGCGCGGUGAAUACGUUCCCGGGCCUUGUACACACCGCCCGUCAAGCCAUGGGAGUUGGGGGUACCUAAAGUCCGUAACCGUAAAAGGAUCGGCCCAGGGUAAAACCGAUGACUGGGGCUAAGUCGUAACAAGGUAGCCGUACCGGAAGGUGCGGCUG